GAUCCUGCUCAGGAUGAACGCUAGCUACAGGCUUAACACAUGCAAGUCGAGGGGCAGCAUGUCGGUUGCUUGCAACCGAUGAUGGCGACCGGCGCACGGGUGAGUAACGCGUAUCCAACCUACCCUUGUCCAUCGGAUAACCCGUCGAAAGGCGGCCUAACACGAUAUGCGGUUCACAGCAGGCAUCUAACGUGAACGAAAUGUGAAGGAGAAGGAUGGGGAUGCGU
RNAcentral lists this ribosomal RNA (227 nucleotides) under uncultured bacterium. RNAcentral's name for it is "partial 16S ribosomal RNA". It matches the Rfam family "Bacterial small subunit ribosomal RNA", at positions 15 to 236 of the family's 1533-position model. The record is from RNAcentral.